RNAcentral lists this ribosomal RNA (2250 nucleotides) under human gut metagenome. RNAcentral's name for it is "bacterial LSU rRNA". It matches the Rfam family "Bacterial large subunit ribosomal RNA", at positions 591 to 2826 of the family's 2925-position model. The record is from RNAcentral.
GUGUGACUGCGUACCUUUUGUAUAAUGGGUCAGCGACUUAUAUUCUGUAGCAAGGUUAACCGAAUAGGGGAGCCGAAGGGAAACCGAGUCUUAACUGGGCGUUAAGUUGCAGGGUAUAGACCCGAAACCCGGUGAUCUAGCCAUGGGCAGGUUGAAGGUUGGGUAACACUAACUGGAGGACCGAACCGACUAAUGUUGAAAAAUUAGCGGAUGACUUGUGGCUGGGGGUGAAAGGCCAAUCAAACCGGGAGAUAGCUGGUUCUCCCCGAAAGCUAUUUAGGUAGCGCCUCGUGAAUUCAUCUCCGGGGGUAGAGCACUGUUUCGGCAAGGGGGUCAUCCCGACUUACCAACCCGAUGCAAACUGCGAAUACCGGAGAAUGUUAUCACGGGAGACACACGGCGGGUGCUAACGUCCGUCGUGAAGAGGGAAACAACCCAGACCGCCAGCUAAGGUCCCAAAGUCAUGGUUAAGUGGGAAACGAUGUGGGAAGGCCCAGACAGCCAGGAUGUUGGCUUAGAAGCAGCCAUCAUUUAAAGAAAGCGUAAUAGCUCACUGGUCGAGUCGGCCUGCGCGGAAGAUGUAACGGGGCUAAACCAUGCACCGAAGCUGCGGCAGCGACGCUUAUGCGUUGUUGGGUAGGGGAGCGUUCUGUAAGCCUGCGAAGGUGUGCUGUGAGGCAUGCUGGAGGUAUCAGAAGUGCGAAUGCUGACAUAAGUAACGAUAAAGCGGGUGAAAAGCCCGCUCGCCGGAAGACCAAGGGUUCCUGUCCAACGUUAAUCGGGGCAGGGUGAGUCGACCCCUAAGGCGAGGCCGAAAGGCGUAGUCGAUGGGAAACAGGUUAAUAUUCCUGUACUUGGUGUUACUGCGAAGGGGGGACGGAGAAGGCUAUGUUGGCCGGGCGACGGUUGUCCCGGUUUAAGCGUGUAGGCUGGUUUUCCAGGCAAAUCCGGAAAAUCAAGGCUGAGGCGUGAUGACGAGGCACUACGGUGCUGAAGCAACAAAUGCCCUGCUUCCAGGAAAAGCCUCUAAGCAUCAGGUAACAUCAAAUCGUACCCCAAACCGACACAGGUGGUCAGGUAGAGAAUACCAAGGCGCUUGAGAGAACUCGGGUGAAGGAACUAGGCAAAAUGGUGCCGUAACUUCGGGAGAAGGCACGCUGAUAUGUAGGUGAAGUCCCUCGCGGAUGGAGCUGAAAUCAGUCGAAGAUACCAGCUGGCUGCAACUGUUUAUUAAAAACACAGCACUGUGCAAACACGAAAGUGGACGUAUACGGUGUGACGCCUGCCCGGUGCCGGAAGGUUAAUUGAUGGGGUCAGCGCAAGCGAAGCUCUUGAUCGAAGCCCCGGUAAACGGCGGCCGUAACUAUAACGGUCCUAAGGUAGCGAAAUUCCUUGUCGGGUAAGUUCCGACCUGCACGAAUGGCGUAAUGAUGGCCAGGCUGUCUCCACCCGAGACUCAGUGAAAUUGAACUCGCUGUGAAGAUGCAGUGUACCCGCGGCAAGACGGAAAGACCCCGUGAACCUUUACUAUAGCUUGACACUGAACAUUGAGCCUUGAUGUGUAGGAUAGGUGGGAGGCUUUGAAGUGUGGACGCCAGUCUGCAUGGAGCCGACCUUGAAAUACCACCCUUUAAUGUUUGAUGUUCUAACGUUGACCCGUAAUCCGGGUUGCGGACAGUGUCUGGUGGGUAGUUUGACUGGGGCGGUCUCCUCCUAAAGAGUAACGGAGGAGCACGAAGGUUGGCUAAUCCUGGUCGGACAUCAGGAGGUUAGUGCAAUGGCAUAAGCCAGCUUGACUGCGAGCGUGACGGCGCGAGCAGGUGCGAAAGCAGGUCAUAGUGAUCCGGUGGUUCUGAAUGGAAGGGCCAUCGCUCAACGGAUAAAAGGUACUCCGGGGAUAACAGGCUGAUACCGCCCAAGAGUUCAUAUCGACGGCGGUGUUUGGCACCUCGAUGUCGGCUCAUCACAUCCUGGGGCUGAAGUAGGUCCCAAGGGUAUGGCUGUUCGCCAUUUAAAGUGGUACGCGAGCUGGGUUUAGAACGUCGUGAGACAGUUCGGUCCCUAUCUGCCGUGGGCGCUGGAGAACUGAGGGGGGCUGCUCCUAGUACGAGAGGACCGGAGUGGACGCAUCACUGGUGUUCGGGUUGUCAUGCCAAUGGCACUGCCCGGUAGCUAAAUGCGGAAGAGAUAAGUGCUGAAAGCAUCUAAGCACGAAACUUGCCCCGAGAUGAGUUCUCCCUGACUCCUUGA